GACGAACCGAGCGAACGUUGUUCGGAAUCACUGGGCUUAAAGGGCGCGUAGGCGGGUGCUCAAGUCCGGGGUGAAAUCCUCCAGCUCAACUGGAGAACUGCCUCGGAUACUGGGUGCCUCGAGGGUGGCAGGGGUAUGCGGAACUAUCGGUGGAGCGGUGAAAUGCGUUGAUAUCGAUAGGAACUCCGGUGGCGAAGGCGGCAUACUGGUCCACUUCUGACGCUGAGGCGCGAAAGCGUGGGGAGCAAACAGG
This 253-nucleotide ribosomal RNA is filed under the name uncultured bacterium. RNAcentral describes it as "partial 16S ribosomal RNA". It matches the Rfam family "Bacterial small subunit ribosomal RNA", at positions 524 to 776 of the family's 1533-position model. The record is from RNAcentral.